RNAcentral lists this ribosomal RNA (484 nucleotides) under uncultured bacterium. RNAcentral describes it as "partial 16S ribosomal RNA". It matches the Rfam family "Bacterial small subunit ribosomal RNA", at positions 30 to 507 of the family's 1533-position model. The record is from RNAcentral.
AUUGAACGCUGGCGGCAGGCCUAACACAUGCAAGUCGAGCGGAUGAAGGGAGCUUGCUCCUGGAUUCAGCGGCGGACGGGUGAGUAAUGCAUAGGAAUCUGCCUGGUAGUGGGGGAUAACGUCCGGAAGCGGGCGCUAAUACCGCAUACGUCCUGAGGGAGAAAGUGGGGGAUCUUCGGACCUCACGCUAUCAGGUGAGCCUAGGUCGGAUUAGCUAGUUGGUGGGGUAAAGGCCUACCAAGGCGACGAUCCGUAACUGGUCUGAGAGGAUGAUCAGUCACACUGGAACUGAGACACGGUCCAGACUCCUACGGGAGGCAGCAGUGGGGAAUAUUGGACAAUGGGCGAAAGCCUGAUCCAGCCAUGCCGCGUGUGUGAAGAAGGUCUUCGGAUUGUAAAGCACUUUAAGUUGGGAGGAAGGGCAGUAAGUUAAUACCUUGCUGUUUUGACGUUACCAACAGAAUAAGCACCGGCUAACUUCGUG